UUCCGUAGGUGAACCUGCGGAAGGAUCAUUACCGAGUGAGGGCCCUCUGGGUCCAACCUCCCCACCCGUGUUUAUCGUACCUUGUUGCUUCGGCGGGCCCGCCUCACGGCCGCCGGGGGGCAUCUGCCCCCGGGCCCGCGCCCGCCGAAGACACCAUUGAACGCUGUCUGAAGAUUGCAGUCUGAGCAUCUUAGCUAAAUCAGUUAAAACUUUCAACAACGGAUCUCUUGGUUCCGGCAUCGAUGAAGAACGCAGCGAAAUGCGAUAAGCAAUGUGAAUUGCAGAAUUCAGUGAAUCAUCGAGUCUUUGAACGCACAUUGCGCCCUCUGGUAUUCCGGAGGGCAUGCCUGUCCGAGCGUCAUUGCUGCCCUCAAGCACGGCUUGUGUGUUGGGUCCCCGCCCCCUGCUUCCAGGGGGCGGACCCGAAAGGCAGCGGCGGCACCGCGUCCGGUCCUCGAGCGUAUGGGGCUUCGUCACCCGCUCUUGUAGGCCCGGCCGGCGCCCGCCGGCGACCCCCCAUCAAUCUUUUCAGGUUGACCUCGGAUCAGGUAGGGAUACCCGCUGAACUUAAGCAUAUCAAUAAGC
This 585-nucleotide ribosomal RNA is filed under the name uncultured Paecilomyces. RNAcentral describes it as "eukaryotic LSU rRNA". The stretch from base 208 to 361 matches the Rfam family "5.8S ribosomal RNA". The record is from RNAcentral. Lineage: Eukaryota; Fungi; Ascomycota; Eurotiomycetes; Eurotiales; Thermoascaceae.